This 65-nucleotide transfer RNA is filed under the name Nippostrongylus brasiliensis. It matches the Rfam family "tRNA". From Rfam's summary of the family: Transfer RNA (tRNA) molecules are approximately 80 nucleotides in length. Their secondary structure includes four short double-helical elements and three loops (D, anti-codon, and T loops). The record is from Rfam by way of RNAcentral. Lineage: Eukaryota; Metazoa; Nematoda; Chromadorea; Rhabditida; Heligmosomidae.
UCAGUAGCAUAGUGGUUAAUGCGCAGGCCCGGAUAGGUUGAGACGCGGGUUUGAAUCCCGCCUGA